GGAGAGGUACCCAAGUGGCUGAAGGGGACGGUUUGCUAAAUCGUUAGAGGGGCGCGAGUCCCUGCGAGGGUUCGAAUCCCUCUCUCUCCGCCA
RNAcentral lists this transfer RNA (93 nucleotides) under Candidatus Saccharimonadota bacterium. RNAcentral's name for it is "tRNA-Ser". It matches the Rfam family "tRNA". Rfam says of the family: Transfer RNA (tRNA) molecules are approximately 80 nucleotides in length. RNAcentral also lists the same sequence under 3 other names. Lineage: Bacteria; Candidatus Saccharimonadota. The record is from RNAcentral.